RNAcentral lists this ribosomal RNA (766 nucleotides) under uncultured bacterium. RNAcentral's name for it is "bacterial SSU rRNA". It matches the Rfam family "Bacterial small subunit ribosomal RNA", at positions 8 to 796 of the family's 1533-position model. The record is from RNAcentral.
AGAGUUUGAUCCUGGCUCAGAAUGAACGUUGGCGGCGUGGAUUAGGCAUGCAAGUCGUCGGGCCGCAAGGCCAGUGGCGCAAGGGUGAGUAAGGCGACGGUAACCAACCCCAUGACUGGGUAUAGCCGCGGGAAACUGCGGGUAAUCCCCAGCGAUGUCCGCGGGAGGCAUCUCCCGGGGACCAAAGCUCCGGCGUCGUGGGACGGGCUGUCGUGGUAUUAGCUGGUUGGCGGGGUAAUGGCCCACCAAGGCUCUGAUGCCUACCGGGCGUGCGAGCGUGGCCCGGCACACUGGGACUGAGACACUGCCCAGACUCCUACGGGAGGCUGCAGUCGAGAAUCUUCGGCAAUGGGCGCAAGCCUGACCGAGCGACGCCGCGUGGAGGACGAAGGCCUUCGGGUUGUAAACUCCUGUCGAGGGGGAAGAACGGGUAACACCUUGACUGAUCCCUGGAGGAAGCACGGGCUAAGUUCGUGCCAGCAGCCGCGGUAAGACGAACCGUGCGAACGUUAUUCGGAAUCACUGGGCUUAAAGCGCGUGUAGGCGGAUGGGAACGUCGGUCGUUGAAAUCCCCCGGCUUAACCGGGGAAGGGGCGCCGAUACGACCCGUCUGGAGGAACGUAGGGGGAGCUGGAACUUCCGGUGGAGCGGUGAAAUGCGUUGAGAUCGGAAGGAACGCCCGUGGCGAAAGCGAGCUCCUGGACGUUUUCUGACGCUGAGACGCGAAAGCCAGGGGAGCGAACGGGAUUAGAUACCCCCGUAGUCC